This 463-nucleotide ribosomal RNA is filed under the name Streptococcus thermophilus. Its description in RNAcentral is "bacterial SSU rRNA". It matches the Rfam family "Bacterial small subunit ribosomal RNA", at positions 339 to 793 of the family's 1533-position model. Lineage: Bacteria; Bacillati; Bacillota; Bacilli; Lactobacillales; Streptococcaceae. The record is from RNAcentral.
CUACGGGGAGGCAGCAGUAGGGAAUCUUCGGCAAUGGGGGGCACCCUGACCGAGCCGCCGCGUGAGUGAAGAAGGUUUUCGGAUCGUAAAGCUCUGUUGUAAGUCAAGAACGGGUGUGAGAGUGGAAAAUUCACACUGUGACGGUAGCUUACCAGAAAGGGACGGCUAACUACGUGCCAGCAGCCGCGGUAAUACGUAGGUCCCGAGCGUUGUCCGGAUUUAUUGGGCGUAAAGCGAGCGCAGGCGGUUUGAUAAGUCUGAAGUUAAAGGCUGUGGCUCAACCAUAGUUCGCUUUGGAAACUGUCAAACUUGAGUGCAGAAGGGGAGAGUGGAAUUCCAUGUGUAGCGGUGAAAUGCGUAGAUAUAUGGAGGAACACCGGUGGCGAAAGCGGCUCUCUGGUCUGUAACUGACGCUGAGGCUCGAAAGCGUGGGGAGCGAACAGGAUUAGAUACCCUGGGGUAG